Molecule: ribosomal RNA, 1521 nt
Filed under: Staphylococcus aureus
Lineage: Bacteria; Bacillati; Bacillota; Bacilli; Caryophanales; Staphylococcaceae
Description: partial 23S ribosomal RNA
Rfam family: Bacterial large subunit ribosomal RNA
Source: RNAcentral
UAACGACGAUAUGCUUUGGGGAGCUGUAAGUAAGCUUUGAUCCAGAGAUUUCCGAAUGGGGAAACCCAGCAUGAGUUAUGUCAUGUUAUCGAUAUGUGAAUACAUAGCAUAUCAGAAGGCACACCCGGAGAACUGAAACAUCUUAGUACCCGGAGGAAGAGAAAGAAAAUUCGAUUCCCUUAGUAGCGGCGAGCGAAACGGGAAGAGCCCAAACCAACAAGCUUGCUUGUUGGGGUUGUAGGACACUCUAUACGGAGUUACAAAGGACGACAUUAGACGAAUCAUCUGGAAAGAUGAAUCAAAGAAGGUAAUAAUCCUGUAGUCGAAAAUGUUGUCUCUCUUGAGUGGAUCCUGAGUACGACGGAGCACGUGAAAUUCCGUCGGAAUCUGGGAGGACCAUCUCCUAAGGCUAAAUACUCUCUAGUGACCGAUAGUGAACCAGUACCGUGAGGGAAAGGUGAAAAGCACCCCGGAAGGGGAGUGAAAUAGAACCUGAAACCGUGUGCUUACAAGUAGUCAGAGCCCGUUAAUGGGUGAUGGCGUGCCUUUUGUAGAAUGAACCGGCGAGUUACGAUUUGAUGCAAGGUUAAGCAGUAAAUGUGGAGCCGUAGCGAAAGCGAGUCUGAAUAGGGCGUUUAGUAUUUGGUCGUAGACCCGAAACCAGGUGAUCUACCCUUGGUCAGGUUGAAGUUCAGGUAACACUGAAUGGAGGACCGAACCGACUUACGUUGAAAAGUGAGCGGAUGAACUGAGGGUAGCGGAGAAAUUCCAAUCGAACCUGGAGAUAGCUGGUUCUCUCCGAAAUAGCUUUAGGGCUAGCCUCAAGUGAUGAUUAUUGGAGGUAGAGCACUGUUUGGACGAGGGGCCCCUCUCGGGUUACCGAAUUCAGACAAACUCCGAAUGCCAAUUAAUUUAACUUGGGAGUCAGAACAUGGGUGAUAAGGUCCGUGUUCGAAAGGGAAACAGCCCAGACCACCAGCUAAGGUCCCAAAAUAUAUGUUAAGUGGAAAAGGAUGUGGCGUUGCCCAGACAACUAGGAUGUUGGCUUAGAAGCAGCCAUCAUUUAAAGAGUGCGUAAUAGCUCACUAGUCGAGUGACACUGCGCCGAAAAUGUACCGGGGCUAAACAUAUUACCGAAGCUGUGGAUUGUCCUUUGGACAAUGGUAGGAGAGCGUUCUAAGGGCGUUGAAGCAUGAUCGUAAGGACAUGUGGAGCGCUUAGAAGUGAGAAUGCCGGUGUGAGUAGCGAAAGACGGGUGAGAAUCCCGUCCACCGAUUGACUAAGGUUUCCAGAGGAAGGCUCGUCCGCUCUGGGUUAGUCGGGUCCUAAGCUGAGGCCGACAGGCGUAGGCGAUGGAUAACAGGUUGAUAUUCCUGUACCACCUAUAAUCGUUUUAAUCGAUGGGGGGACGCAGUAGGAUAGGCGAAGCGUGCGAUUGGAUUGCACGUCUAAGCAGUAAGGCUGAGUAUUAGGCAAAUCCGGUACUCGUUAAGGCUGAGCUGUGAUGGGGAGAAGACAUUG